CAGUCGCCGCGGUGAUACGUAGGUGGCAAGCGUUGUCCGGAAUUAUUGGGCGUAAAGGGCUCGCAGGCGGUUUCUUAAGUCUGAUGUGAAAGCCCCCGGCUCAACCGGGGAGGGUCAUUGGAAACUGGGAAACUUGAGUGCAGAAGAGGAGAGUGGAAUUCCACGUGUAGCGGUGAAAUGCGUAGAGAUGUGGAGGAACACCAGUGGCGAAGGCGACUCUCUGGUCUGUAACUGACGCUGAGGAGCGAAAGCGUGGGGAGCGAACAGGAUUAGAUACCCCUGUAGUCCCUGUCUCUUAUAC
RNAcentral lists this ribosomal RNA (301 nucleotides) under uncultured bacterium. RNAcentral describes it as "partial 16S ribosomal RNA". It matches the Rfam family "Bacterial small subunit ribosomal RNA", at positions 509 to 807 of the family's 1533-position model. The record is from RNAcentral.